CAGUAGCCGCGGUAAUACAGAGGUCUCAAGCGUUGUUCGGAUUCAUUGGGCGUAAAGGGUGCGUAGGUGGCUUGGUAAGUUGAAGGUGAAAUCUCGGGGCUUAACUCCGAAACUGCCUUCAAUACUGCUGAGCUUGAGGAUUGUAGAGGAGAAUGGAAUUCACGGUGUAGCAGUGAAAUGCGUAGAUAUCGUGAGGAAGACCAGUGGCGAAGGCGAUUCUCCGGGCAAUUCCUGACACUGAGGCACGAAGGCCAGGGGAGCAAACGGGAUUAGAUACCCCCGUAGUCCCUGUCUCUUAUAC
RNAcentral lists this ribosomal RNA (301 nucleotides) under uncultured bacterium. Its description in RNAcentral is "partial 16S ribosomal RNA". It matches the Rfam family "Bacterial small subunit ribosomal RNA", at positions 509 to 807 of the family's 1533-position model. The record is from RNAcentral.